RNAcentral lists this transfer-messenger RNA (235 nucleotides) under Clostridiales bacterium. Its description in RNAcentral is "partial transfer-messenger RNA". It matches the Rfam family "transfer-messenger RNA", at positions 119 to 374 of the family's 374-position model. Rfam says of the family: Bacterial tmRNA, also known as 10Sa RNA or SsrA, is named for its dual tRNA and mRNA-like properties. Its role is to liberate the mRNA from a stalled ribosome. To accomplish this part of the tmRNA is used as a reading frame that ends in a translation stop signal. Lineage: Bacteria; Bacillati; Bacillota; Clostridia; Eubacteriales. The record is from RNAcentral.
AGCUGCUUAAUGCAGCUAGUCUCCUCUAGACAACCCGCACUCUAGAACGAGACUCCGACUUAGCGGGCAACGUCUAGGGCUAAGCUUUGCCCCCUAGCCGUAUCUAUGAAGCUACCAAAGUGAACAGCCUGUCUCUGGGCGGUUCAUGGAGGGAAUGUUAAAACAGUGACUAUGAUGGUAGAGACCACGAUUUAUGGGCUUUCGGACAGGGGUUCGAUUCCCCUCACCUCCAUGU